UACGAAGGGUGCAAGCGUUACUCGGAAUUACUGGGCGUAAAGCGUGCGUAGGUGGUGAGUUAAGCCUGAUGUGAAAUCCCCGGGCUCAACCUGGGAAUGGCAUUGGAUACUGGCUCGCUAGAGUGCGGUAGAGGGUGGUGGAAUUCCCGGUGUAGCAGUGAAAUGCGUAGAGAUCGGGAGGAACAUCUGUGGCGAAGGCGGCCACCUGGACCAACACUGACACUGAGGCACGAAAGCGUGGGGAGCAAACAGG
RNAcentral lists this ribosomal RNA (253 nucleotides) under uncultured bacterium. RNAcentral describes it as "partial 16S ribosomal RNA". It matches the Rfam family "Bacterial small subunit ribosomal RNA", at positions 524 to 776 of the family's 1533-position model. The record is from RNAcentral.